CCUACGGGUGGCAGCAGUGAGGAAUAUUGGUCAAUGGACGAGAGUCUGAACCAGCCAAGUAGCGUGAAGGAUGACUGCCCUAUGGGUUGUAAACUUCUUUUAUAUGGGAAUAAAACGUUCCACGUGUGGGAUUUUGUAUGUACAAUAUGAAUAAGGAUCGGCUAACUCCGUGCCAGCAGCCGCGGUAAUACGGAGGAUCCGAGCGUUAUCCGGAUUUAUUGGGUUUAAAGGGAGCGUAGGUGGCUUGUUAAGUGAGUUGUGAAAUUUUGCGGCUCAACCGUAAAAGUGCAGUUGAAACUGGCAGUCUUGAGUACAGUAGAGGUGGGCGGAAUUCGUGGUGUAGCGGUGAAAUGCUUAGAUAUCACGAAGAACUCCGAUUGCGAAGGCAGCUCACUGGACUGCAACUGACACUGAGGCUCGAAAGUGUGGGUAUCAAACAGGAUUAGAUACCCGGGUAGUC
Molecule: ribosomal RNA, 460 nt
Filed under: uncultured bacterium
Lineage: Bacteria
Description: partial 16S ribosomal RNA
Rfam family: Bacterial small subunit ribosomal RNA
Source: RNAcentral